AACAGGAUUAGAUACCCUGGUAGUCCAUGCCGUAAACGAUGUCUACUAGCCGUUGGGGCCUUUGAGGCUUUAGUGGCGCAGCUAACGCGAUAAGUAGACCGCCUGGGGAGUACGGUCGCAAGACUAAAACUCAAAUGAAUUGACGGGGGCCCGCACAAGCGGUGGAGCAUGUGGUUUAAUUCGAUGCAACGCGAAGAACCUUACCUGGUCUUGACAUAGUAAGAACUUUCCAGAGAUGGAUUGGUGCCUUCGGGAACUUACAUACAGGUGCUGCAUGGCUGUCGUCAGCUCGCGUCGUGAGAUGUUGGGUUAAGUCCCGCAACGAGCGCAACCCUUUUCCUUAUUUGCCAGCACUUCGGGUGGGAACUUUAAGGAUACUGCCAGUGACAAACUGGAGGAAGGCGGGGACGACGUCAAGUCAUCAUGGCCCUUACGACCAGGGCUACACACGUGCUACAAUGGUCGGUACAAAGGGUUGCUACCUAGCGAUAGGAUGCUAAUCUCAAAAAGCCGAUCGUAGUCCGGAUUGGAGUCUGCAACUCGACUCCAUGAAGUCGGAAUCGCUAGUAAUCGCGGAUCAGAAUGCCGCGGUGAAUACGUUCCCGGGCCUUGUACACACCGCCCGUCACACCAUGGGAGUUUGUUGCACCAGAAGUAGGUAGUCUAACCGUAAGGAGGACGCUUACCACGGUGUGGCCGAUGACUGGGGUGAAGUCGUAACAAGGUAACC
Molecule: ribosomal RNA, 730 nt
Filed under: uncultured bacterium
Lineage: Bacteria
Description: bacterial SSU rRNA
Rfam family: Bacterial small subunit ribosomal RNA
Source: RNAcentral